Molecule: ribosomal RNA, 486 nt
Filed under: uncultured bacterium
Lineage: Bacteria
Description: bacterial SSU rRNA
Rfam family: Bacterial small subunit ribosomal RNA
Source: RNAcentral
AUUGAACGCUGGCGGCAUGCUUUACACAUGCAAGUCGAACGGCAGCACGGGUGCUUGCACCUGGUGGCGAGUGGCGGACGGGUGAGUAAUGCAUCGGAACGUGUCCUAAAGUGGGGGAUAACGCAUCGAAAGAUGUGCUAAUACCGCAUAUUCUCUGAGGAGGAAAGUAGGGGAUCGAAAGACCUUAUGCUUUUGGAGCGGCCGAUGUCUGAUUAGCUAGUUGGUAGGGUAAUGGCUUACCAAGGCGACGAUCAGUAGUUGGUCUGAGAGGACGACCAGCCACACUGGGACUGAGACACGGCCCAGACUCCUACGGGAGGCAGCAGUGGGGAAUUUUGGACAAUGGGCGCAAGCCUGAUCCAGCAAUGCCGCGUGAGUGAAGAAGGCCUUCGGGUUGUAAAGGCUCUGUCGGGAGGGACGGAAGGGGAAACCCGUAGACGGUACCUCGCAAGAAAGACACCGGCGUAACUCUGUGCCAGCAGCCGC